This 253-nucleotide ribosomal RNA is filed under the name uncultured bacterium. Its description in RNAcentral is "partial 16S ribosomal RNA". It matches the Rfam family "Bacterial small subunit ribosomal RNA", at positions 524 to 776 of the family's 1533-position model. The record is from RNAcentral.
UACGUAGGGUCCGAGCGUUGUUCGGAAUUACUGGGCGUAAAGGGCUCGUAGGCGGCCAACUAAGUCGGAUGUGAAAUCCCCAGGCUUAACCUGGGAACUGCAUCCGAUACUGGAUGGCUUGAAUCCGGGAGAGGGAUGCAGAAUUCCAGGUGUAGCGGUGAAAUGCGUAGAUAUCUGGAGGAAUACCGGUGGCGAAGGCGGCAUCCUGGACCGGCAUUGACGCUGAGGAGCGAAAGCUAGGGGAGCAAACGGG